RNAcentral lists this ribosomal RNA (465 nucleotides) under Vreelandella stevensii. RNAcentral describes it as "partial 16S ribosomal RNA". It matches the Rfam family "Bacterial small subunit ribosomal RNA", at positions 338 to 795 of the family's 1533-position model. Lineage: Bacteria; Pseudomonadati; Pseudomonadota; Gammaproteobacteria; Oceanospirillales; Halomonadaceae. The record is from RNAcentral.
CCUACGGGAGGCAGCAGUGGGGAAUAUUGGACAAUGGGGGCAACCCUGAUCCAGCCAUGCCGCGUGUGUGAAGAAGGCCCUCGGGUUGUAAAGCACUUUCAGUGAGGAAGAACACCUGGUGGUUAAUACCCAUCAGGAAAGACAUCACUCACAGAAGAAGCACCGGCUAACUCCGUGCCAGCAGCCGCGGUAAUACGGAGGGUGCGAGCGUUAAUCGGAAUUACUGGGCGUAAAGCGCGCGUAGGUGGCUUGAUAAGCCGGUUGUGAAAGCCCCGGGCUCAACCUGGGAACGGCAUCCGGAACUGUCAAGCUAGAGUGCAGGAGAGGAAGGUAGAAUUCCCGGUGUAGCGGUGAAAUGCGUAGAGAUCGGGAGGAAUACCAGUGGCGAAGGCGGCCUUCUGGACUGACACUGACACUGAGGUGCGAAAGCGUGGGUAGCAAACAGGAUUAGAUACCCGAGUAGUC